AACGAACGCUGGCGGCAUGCCUAACACAUGCAAGUCGAACGAGACCGUCGGGUCUAGUGGCGCACCUGUGCGUACCGCGUGGUAACCUGCCCUUGGGUUCGGAAUAACUCCCCGUAGGGGGAGCUAAUAACGGAUAGUGUCAUAGGACCAAAGAUGUCUCGCCGUGGGAUGGGGCCGCGUUGGCUUAGCGAGUUGGUAGGGUAAAAGCCUACCAACGGCACGAUGCAUAGCUGGUCUGAUAGGAUGAUCAGCCACACUGGAGAUGAGACACGGCCCAGAAUCCUACGGAAGGGAGGAGUGGGGAACAUUGGAGGAGGGGCGCAAGUCUGAUCCAGCAAUGCGGGGUGAGUGAGGAAGGGCUUAGGGAUGUAAAGCUCUUUUAGCCGGGACGAUAAUGACAGUAACGGGAGAAGAAGCACCGGCUAACUACGUG
This 433-nucleotide ribosomal RNA is filed under the name uncultured bacterium. RNAcentral describes it as "partial 16S ribosomal RNA". It matches the Rfam family "Bacterial small subunit ribosomal RNA", at positions 29 to 507 of the family's 1533-position model. The record is from RNAcentral.